Long non-coding RNA from Thalassophryne amazonica, 128 nucleotides. RefSeq lists it as uncharacterized. The transcript has 3 exons. The record is from RefSeq and is a predicted model, not a curated record. Lineage: Eukaryota; Metazoa; Chordata; Actinopteri; Batrachoidiformes; Batrachoididae.
AGUGAACCAUUUACAAAUUAAAGUGUUCACUCAGAUCAACUGUGCUAAAAGGCUAAGCUAACGUUAGUUGAUCAUUAAAUCUUCACAGCAAUGCAGUAAACGUCACGUUUUAGUUUAAAAGGAGGAGG